Sarcophilus harrisii (Tasmanian devil) is the source of this 315-nucleotide long non-coding RNA. RefSeq lists it as uncharacterized. The record is from RefSeq and is a predicted model, not a curated record. The transcript has 2 exons. NCBI's taxonomy places the organism in Eukaryota, Metazoa, Chordata, Mammalia, Dasyuromorphia, Dasyuridae.
CGCCCCUUCCCAAUCACCAUUUAUGUAAGUCUCUUUUGUCUGGAGAUGAGGAUGUGCUGGGACCAGAGAGGAUGGAGGUCCUUGGGCCCUUCAUCCAGUUCCCUACCUUUCCGCCUUCACAGCGAUCCCCUCCGUUACCCCCAUCUUCCCUCAUCUCCGGACAGACUGAUCCUGAGGGUCCUGAGGAGCCUAAGCCACAGGGAGUGAGGGGAGAAUGAUUCUUAAUCCUGCAAAUUGGAAUCUGUUUCUUCUAUAUCUUGCAUAUGCAACCACCCAUAGAGAUUUUUGCUGCAAAGGUCUUUAUCCUCAGGCAAG